UUACAAAUUUAUUUUAAGAUGAUUGAGGCAAAGUUUUGUUGCCAGGGUACUGAUCCCUCAUUAUGAAAGAUGGACCUAACUACACUCCCAUGCAAUCCCUGACAUCUCCUUUUGAAAUUGAUGUUGCAGAUCGAUCGCAGUCGGUAUCUUCCAAUACUACUUCAGCACCGAGCUUAGUAAGGUCUUCCAAUAGCAUAAAAAAGCGGCGCAUUAAGGAGAGAGCUGACGAAGUUUUGGAAAAAGUAAAUGCAAAACUCGAUAUGCAUGAGCACGAAGACAGGUUUAACGAGCUGCACUGGGACACAUUUCAAGACAUACCAAAAUGUCGCUAACAGAAAAAAUGUCGGGAAAUAGGUUAGCACAAGAGUUUGCUACAAACCCUAUUAACGUAAACUACCAUAAUCAGUGACAUGAUAGUUCAAGCUCCCAUCAAACUGAUUUGGAUUACGGAGAAAACUACCAAGCUACAUCUCAGAUACUACUAUCCUCCAAUGAUGCAAGAUCCUUUUGGAAAAUUUUUUACCUAAGUAUUAAUAAUUAGUUAUA
This is a long non-coding RNA of Cylas formicarius (sweet potato weevil), 546 nucleotides long. RefSeq lists it as uncharacterized. The record is from RefSeq and is a predicted model, not a curated record. The transcript has 3 exons. NCBI's taxonomy places the organism in Eukaryota, Metazoa, Arthropoda, Insecta, Coleoptera, Brentidae.